This 433-nucleotide ribosomal RNA is filed under the name uncultured bacterium. RNAcentral's name for it is "partial 16S ribosomal RNA". It matches the Rfam family "Bacterial small subunit ribosomal RNA", at positions 29 to 507 of the family's 1533-position model. The record is from RNAcentral.
AACGAACGCUGGCGGCAUGCCUAACACAUGCAAGUCGAACGAGACCUUCGGGUCUAGUGGCGCACGGGUGCGUCACGCGUGGGAACCUGCCCUUAGGUUCGGACUAACUCCCCGAAAGGGGUGCUAAUACCGGAUACUGUCUUCGGACCAAAGAUUUAUCGCCUUUGGAUGGGCCCGCGUUGGAUUAGCUAGUUGGUAGGGUAAAAGCCUACCAAGGCGACGAUACAUAGCUGGUCUGAGAGGAUGAUCAGCCACACUGGGACUGGGACACGGCCCAGACUCCUACGGGAGGCAGCAGUGGGGAAUAUUGGACAAUGGGCGAAAGCCUGAUCCAGCAAUGCCGCGUGAGUGAUGAAGGCCUUAGGGUUGUAAAGCUCUUUUACCCGGGAUGAUAAUGACAGUACCGGGAGAAUAAGCUCCGGCUAACUCCGUG